AUGAGCGCGUUCUGGUGAACAACGCCGUCUCCAAAGCGGCGAAGGAGAGUUCGAUUCUGCUCCGCUCAUGCCA
This 73-nucleotide transfer RNA is filed under the name Patescibacteria group bacterium. RNAcentral's name for it is "tRNA-Trp". The record is from RNAcentral.